CAAGAUAUAGCUAGUUAGAAAGCCCCUCUCUUACACAGAGUUGACAUUCGUGCAAAUCGGAUUAUCUUGA
This 70-nucleotide transfer RNA is filed under the name Aspidodiadema arcitum. RNAcentral describes it as "tRNA-Val". It matches the Rfam family "tRNA". Rfam says of the family: Transfer RNA (tRNA) molecules are approximately 80 nucleotides in length. The record is from RNAcentral. Lineage: Eukaryota; Metazoa; Echinodermata; Echinoidea; Aspidodiadematoida; Aspidodiadematidae.